GAUGAACGCUGGCGGCGUGCCUAACACAUGCAAGUCGAACGGAAAGACCCUGAGUUUGUGCGGUUCUCGAUUGCCGAAGGCGGGCGUGUCACGUGUGUAUCCUGCUCUUCUCUUUCGGGGAACAUCACGAAACGGGGGCUAAGAUAGUACAGGAUAUCCUGUACCGUGGUGGGCAUUGGAAAGUCUCGGCUGUCGCGGAUGGAUUAGCGGCUUACGAGCUAGCUGGUGGGGUAGUGGAUGACCAAGCCUUUGACGGGUAGCCGGCCUGAGAGGGUGGACGGCCACAUGGGGCCUGAGAGACGGCCCAGACUGGUACGGGAGGCAGAAGGGGGGAACAUUGCACAAUGGGCGGACGCGUGAUGCAGCAACGCCGCGUGCGUGAAGACGGCUUUCGGGUGGUAAACAGCUUUCGCCGGUAACGAAGCGUGAGUGACGGUAAUGGGUAAGGAAGCACCGGCUAACUACGUG
RNAcentral lists this ribosomal RNA (468 nucleotides) under uncultured bacterium. RNAcentral describes it as "partial 16S ribosomal RNA". It matches the Rfam family "Bacterial small subunit ribosomal RNA", at positions 28 to 507 of the family's 1533-position model. The record is from RNAcentral.